AUUGAACGCUGGCGGCAUGCCUUACACAUGCAAGUCGAACGGCAGCACGGGUGCUUGCACCUGGUGGCGAGUGGCGAACGGGUGAGUAAUACAUCGGAACAUGUCCUGUAGUGGGGGAUAGCCCGGCGUAAGCCGGAUUAAUACCGCAUACGAUCUACGGAUGAAAGCGGGGGACCUUCGGGCCUCGCGCUAUAGGGUUGGCCGAUGGCUGAUUAGCUAGUUGGUGGGGUAAAGGCCUACCAAGGCGACGAUCAGUAGCUGGUCUGAGAGGACGACCAGCCACACUGGGACUGAGACACGGCCCAGACUCCUACGGGAGGCAGCAGUGGGGAAUUUUGGACAAUGGGCGAAAGCCUGAUCCAGCAAUGCCGCGUGUGUGAAGAAGGCCUUCGGGUUGUAAAGCACUUUUGUCCGGAAAGAAAUCCUUGGCCCUAAUACGGUCGGGGGAUGACGGUACCGGAAGAAUAAGCACCGGCUAACUACGUG
Molecule: ribosomal RNA, 486 nt
Filed under: uncultured bacterium
Lineage: Bacteria
Description: partial 16S ribosomal RNA
Rfam family: Bacterial small subunit ribosomal RNA
Source: RNAcentral